UGGGGAAUAUUGCACAAUGGGCGCAAGCCUGAUGCAGCGACGCCGCGUGAGGGAUGGAGGCCUUCGGGUUGUAAACCUCUUUUAUCGGGGAGCAAGCGAGAGUGAGUUUACCCGUUGAAUAAGCACCGGCUAACUACGUGCCAGCAGCCGCGGUAAUACGUAGGGUGCAAGCGUUAUCCGGAAUUAUUGGGCGUAAAGGGCUCGUAGGCGGUUCGUCGCGUCCGGUGUGAAAGUCCAUCGCUUAACGGUGGAUCCGCGCCGGGUACGGGCGGGCUUGAGUGCGGUAGGGGAGACUGGAAUUCCCGGUGUAACGGUGGAAUGUGUAGAUAUCGGGAAGAACACCAAUGGCGAAGGCAGGUCUCUGGGCCGUUACUGACGCUGAGGAGCGAAAGCGUGGGGAGCGAACAGGAUUAGAUACCCUGGUAGUCCACGCCGUAAACGGUGGAUGCUGGAUGUGGGGCCCGUUCCACGGGUUCCGUGUCGGAGCUAACGCGUUAAGCAUCCCGCCUGGGGAGUACGGCCGCAAGGCUAAAACUCAAAGAAAUUGACGGGGGCCCGCACAAGCGGCGGAGCAUGCGGAUUAAUUCGAUGCAACGCGAAGAACCUUACCUGGGCUUGACAUGUUCCCGACGGUCGUAGAGAUACGGCUUCCCUUCGGGGCGGGUUCACAGGUGGUGCAUGGUCGUCGUCAGCUCGUGUCGUGAGAUGUUGGGUUAAGUCCCGCAACGAGCGCAACCCUCGCCCCGUGUUGCCAGCGGAUUAUGCCGGGAACUCACGGGGGACCGCCGGGGUUAACUCGGAGGAAGGUGGGGAUGACGUCAGAUCAUCAUGCCCCUUACGUCCAGGGCUUCACGCAUGCUACAAUGGCCGGUACAACGGGAUGCGACGCGGCGACGCGGAGCGGAUCCCUGAAAACCGGUCUCAGUUCGGAUCGCAGUCUGCAACUCGACUGCGUGAAGGCGGAGUCGCUAGUAAUCGCGAAUCAGCAACGUCGCGGUGAAUGCGUUCCC
RNAcentral lists this ribosomal RNA (1010 nucleotides) under uncultured bacterium. Its description in RNAcentral is "bacterial SSU rRNA". It matches the Rfam family "Bacterial small subunit ribosomal RNA", at positions 355 to 1375 of the family's 1533-position model. RNAcentral also lists the same sequence under 1 other name. The record is from RNAcentral.